This 755-nucleotide ribosomal RNA is filed under the name uncultured Psychrobacter sp. RNAcentral's name for it is "bacterial SSU rRNA". It matches the Rfam family "Bacterial small subunit ribosomal RNA", at positions 28 to 776 of the family's 1533-position model. Lineage: Bacteria; Pseudomonadati; Pseudomonadota; Gammaproteobacteria; Moraxellales; Moraxellaceae. The record is from RNAcentral.
AUUGAACGCUGGCGGCAGGCUUAACACAUGCAAGUCGAGCGGUAACAUUUCUAGCUUGCUAGAAGAUGACGAGCGGCGGACGGGUGAGUAAUACUUAGGAAUCUACCUAGUAGUGGGGGAUAGCUCGGGGAAACUCGAAUUAAUACCGCAUACGACCUACGGGAGAAAGGGGGCAACUUGUUGCUCUCGCUAUUAGAUGAGCCUAAGUCGGAUUAGCUAGAUGGUGGGGUAAAGGCCUACCAUGGCGACGAUCUGUAGCUGGUCUGAGAGGAUGAUCAGCCACACCGGGACUGAGACACGGCCCGGACUCCUACGGGAGGCAGCAGUGGGGAAUAUUGGACAAUGGGGGAAACCCUGAUCCAGCCAUGCCGCGUGUGUGAAGAAGGCCUUUUGGUUGUAAAGCACUUUAAGCAGUGAAGAAGACUCUUCGGUUAAUACCCGGAGACGAUGACAUUAGCUGCAGAAUAAGCACCGGCUAACUCUGUGCCAGCAGCCGCGGUAAUACAGAGGGUGCAAGCGUUAAUCGGAAUUACUGGGCGUAAAGCGAGCGUAGGUGGCUUGAUAAGUCAGAUGUGAAAUCCCCGGGCUUAACCUGGGAACUGCAUCUGAUACUGUUAGGCUAGAGUAGGUGAGAGGAAGGUAGAAUUCCAGGUGUAGCGGUGAAAUGCGUAGAGAUCUGGAGGAAUACCGAUGGCGAAGGCAGCCUUCUGGCAUCAUACUGACACUGAGGCUCGAAAGCGUGGGUAGCAAACAGG